Molecule: small nucleolar RNA, 350 nt
Filed under: Ophiostoma piceae UAMH 11346
Lineage: Eukaryota; Fungi; Ascomycota; Sordariomycetes; Ophiostomatales; Ophiostomataceae
Description: Fungal small nucleolar RNA U3
Rfam family: Fungal small nucleolar RNA U3
About the family: Small nucleolar RNAs (snoRNAs) are involved in the processing and modification of rRNA in the nucleolus. There are two main classes of snoRNAs: the box C/D class, and the box H/ACA class.
Source: Rfam by way of RNAcentral
GUCGACAAUACUUCAAAGAAUCAUUUCUAUAGUUAUUGUCCUCUUCUAGGUUCUCAAAAAGAGCCAGAAACCCCACCCGGGUUGAUGACUUUAUAUCCUCGACUUGCCCGUUUUUACGAAAACUUUAGCUGCGCUUUUGCCGGCGUGCUUUGGGGUCUUCAUUGAUCCCGUUACCCUCGCUCCUGCCUGCAAAGGCAGCGGACCAGGAAGCGCGUUUGUCUCUUCGGAUUCAAAUGUCUUCUAGGACUGUAUUAACAGAGGGUGGUGAUGAGCUAUACCCUGGACUGGAGGUCUGCUUCUCCUUUGGAGGGCGCUCUGCCAGGGUGGGUGUCGAUGGACGUCUGACCGGC